GGAAUAGCUCAGUUGGUAGAGCAGAGGACUGAAAAUCCUCGUGUCAC
Molecule: transfer RNA, 47 nt
Filed under: Daltoniaceae sp. Suleiman 5871
Lineage: Eukaryota; Viridiplantae; Streptophyta; Bryopsida; Hookeriales; Daltoniaceae
Description: partial tRNA-Phe
Source: RNAcentral